AAAAGAGCGGGGCAGCGCGGGGCUGCCCGUGCUGAGGCGCGGGCAUGGCGCCUCCAUCCCCCGCUCUCCUCAGGGACGGCACCGCCCCGAGCGGCCGGCGAGGCGGCGAAGGAGCCGGGGCCGGGGGGGGGAGAUCGGGCAGCGGGCCCGGCUACCGCGGCAACAGGCGGCCACCGCCGGCCCGGGGCCGCCUCCCCUCAUUGGGGUGGGCGGUGAAAGGGCGACCCCCGCAGCGCUCCUCGCUCCUACCCAGCCACCCGCACCCCCCUCACUCACCCCCGGGCGCGUUUCUCCCCGGGAAAUGGCCUCCACAGCUCGGCCAGAAAUUUUGAAAGCAAAAUUUGCACUGGUUGUGGUGUUUGAGAUAUUGUCACAGACUGCAUGUGAUCACUGGAGGUGUUAGGACUAAAUCGUGACUUUCAUACAGCAGGAGCUGCAGGUUAUGGUUACCUGCUGUGAGAUAUGAAGCACAGCCUCAGAAGUUCAUCAGCAAUGCACGAUAUUUGAGGGAGAUGCCAUCCAGGACAGAUUCAGAGUCUCAGGUAGGCCAGAAAGCAACACAGAAAAGCAAGAGAUGACUGCAG
This is a long non-coding RNA of Oxyura jamaicensis (ruddy duck), 584 nucleotides long. RefSeq lists it as uncharacterized. The transcript has 3 exons. The record is from RefSeq and is a predicted model, not a curated record. NCBI's taxonomy places the organism in Eukaryota, Metazoa, Chordata, Aves, Anseriformes, Anatidae.